GAUGAACGCUGGCGGCGUGCCUAAUACAUGCAAGUCGAGCGAACAGACGAGGAGCUUGCUCCUCUGACGUUAGCGGCGGACGGGUGAGUAACACGUGGAUAACCUACCUAUAAGACUGGGAUAACUUCGGGAAACCGGAGCUAAUACCGGAUAAUAUAUUGAACCGCAUGGUUCAAUAGUGAAAGACGGUUUUGCUGUCACUUAUAGAUGGAUCCGCGCCGCAUUAGCUAGUUGGUAAGGUAACGGCUUACCAAGGCAACGGUGGGUAGCCGACCUGAGAGGGUGAGCGCCGACACUGGAACUGAGACGCGGUCCAGACUCCGACGGGAGGCAGCGGUAGCGAAUGUUGCGCAAUGGGCGAAAGCUUGACGGAGCAACGCCGCGUGAGUGAUGAAGGGCUUCGGACCGUAAAACUCUGUUAUGAGGGAAGACCAAAUGUGUAAGUGACGAUGCACGUCUUGACGGUACCUACUGAGAAAGCAACGGCUAACUACGUG
This 497-nucleotide ribosomal RNA is filed under the name uncultured bacterium. Its description in RNAcentral is "partial 16S ribosomal RNA". It matches the Rfam family "Bacterial small subunit ribosomal RNA", at positions 28 to 507 of the family's 1533-position model. The record is from RNAcentral.